ACGAACGCUGGCGGCAGGCCUAACACAUGCAAGUCGAGCGCGCCCUUCGGGGUGAGCGGCGGACGGGUGAGUCACGCGUGGGAACGUGCCCUUUUCUACGGAAUAGCCUCGGGAAACUGAGAGUAAUACCGUAUACGCCCUUUGGGGGAAAGAUUUAUCGGAAAAGGAUCGGCCCGCGUUGGAUUAGGUAGUUGGUGGGGUAAUGGCCUACCAAGCCGACGAUCCAUAGCUGGUUUGAGAGGAUGAUCAGCCACACUGGGACUGAGACACGGCCCAGACUCCUACGGGAGGCAGCAGUGGGGAAUCUUAGACAAUGGGGGCAACCCUGAUCUAGCCAUGCCGCGUGAGUGAUGAAGGCCUUAGGGUUGUAAAGCUCUUUCAGCUGGGAAGAUAAUGACGGUACCAGCAGAAGAAGCCCCGGCUAACUCCGUG
Molecule: ribosomal RNA, 432 nt
Filed under: uncultured bacterium
Lineage: Bacteria
Description: partial 16S ribosomal RNA
Rfam family: Bacterial small subunit ribosomal RNA
Source: RNAcentral